Molecule: long non-coding RNA, 673 nt
Filed under: Vitis vinifera (wine grape)
Lineage: Eukaryota; Viridiplantae; Streptophyta; Magnoliopsida; Vitales; Vitaceae
Description: long non-coding RNA (VVIN_LNC003032)
Source: RNAcentral
CCCUCAAAACCACCAACAUCCCCGCCGCCAACGGCCCCCUCAAAUCCACCAACAUCCCCGCCGCCAACGGCCCCCUCAAGUCCACCAACAUCCCCGCCGCCAACAACCCCCUCAAGUCCUCCAACAUCCCCGCCGCCAACAACUCCCUCAAGUCCUCCAACAUCCCCGCCGCCAACAGCCCCCUCAAAUCCACCAACAUCCCCGCCGCCAACAACCCCCUCAAGUCCACCAACAUCCCCGCCAACUUCCCCUCCGCGUGCCUCGCCCCCGAUUUCACCAGUCGUGCCACCAGUUUCGCAACCAGUUUCACCUCUACAGCCACCAGUUUUGCCUCCAGGCAUUGCGGUUGACCCGGCCUCCAGGCCAGGUCCUCCGCCGCAGCUGCCUCCUAGUCCUCCCUCAGUGGAGGAGGAGCCACCCUGCCCUCCACCACCACCUAUCCUUCUGACCCGGAAGCUUAAGCUUUAAUAGAGAAGCAUAUAGCUAGCAAUAGUACUACUAGGAUCCUAUCAAUAAAAGUAGUUAGUACGCAGCCGAUGUUUAAUUAAGAGAAAAAGAAGUCCAUGGAAGUACUGCUUGUAUCAUGUUUUUCUAUGAGGAUAUAUGCUUCUUUUUCUCUAAGUUAUGGAGGUAUUCCAUUUCAACAAAAGCACUAAUGUUUGCAUUUGGGAAC